UUAGUCAAUGCUCGCAAGAGUGAACUAGCUAACUGAAAUCAUACUUGUGUCAAGUGUGAUAACGUAAGGGAAGAUAAUGACAUUACCUUACUAUUAGUGUUGUCCAAAACUGGUGCCAGAAGACUCGGUAAGACCAGAGACGCGAACGUUAAUCGUCCUAAUCAGGCGUAAAGGGUGUGUAGGCAGCUUUAAAAUUUUUCUUAUUACUUAAAUUCUUUUAUAUAUUUAAAAGUCUAAAUUUAUUUAAUGUAGACUAAUUAAUUCGUAUUAAUGAAAAAUUAUUUAAUUAUUAAGAAUUAAUUAAAGUAAAGAUAAAAUUAAUAAAAGCUAGAAUCAAAUAGAGGAUAUUUAAAUAAUAUUUAGAGGAGGGGUGAUAUCCUUAGAUACUAAAUAGAAUAUUAAUGGUGAAAGCUUUUAUCUAUUAAUGAUUGACGCUGAGAAACGAAGGUGAGGAUAGGAAAUAGGAUUAGAUACCCAGAUACCCCUCUCUGUCAACGAUGAAUGGUGGUUGCUAAUUAUAUAAAUUAAUUGGUGGCGAUGUUAACACGAUAACCAUUCCGCCAUGUGAGUACGACUGCAAAGUUGAAAACAAAAAAAUUAGUCGGUCUCGAAGCAAACGAAGUGAAGCAUGUUAUUUAAU
Molecule: ribosomal RNA, 640 nt
Filed under: Pseudotomentella sp.
Lineage: Eukaryota; Fungi; Basidiomycota; Agaricomycetes; Thelephorales; Thelephoraceae
Description: SSU rRNA
Rfam family: Bacterial small subunit ribosomal RNA
Source: RNAcentral